GUACAUGAUGAUUUGCGCGUUCAAUAUAAAGAUAAGUGUUUUUCAUUUUUUGUAAUUUUCAUUUGGUAUAUAUAUUUUUGUCAUGCAUAUAUUUAUUCUUGGAUAUGUAUGUUUUAAAUUUAAAUAUUUUAUGCGUAAUCGAAUUAUAUAUUCCUCUUGUCGAGUAUGAAUUAUUAUUAUAACACCAAAAAUAUAUUGAUAUAUUUAUGUGUGGUGUUUAUAUAAUAAAUAUUGUGUAUCUCUAACCUAAUAUUUUAUUUAGUAGCUAUUUUUAGACAGGAAAAGAAUUCGUAAGGCGAGCUCAGGAUGAAAGUAAUGUGAAUCGAGGAUAUUUACAAGAUGUGUCUCCCCCGAAUAGCGAGAGGCGCGCCUUCCCCUAACAGGGCGCGCCAUGAGAUAAAUACUAACCUUAUAAUUUUGCUAAAUAUAAUUGUGUAUAUAUGUUGUAUACAGAGACACGUCCAACACUUCAGUCUUCAAGAUUCAGAGUAAAUAUAUGUCACAACACAUCUUCGCAACACUGUCUUCUCCAACCUGCAUCUUCAAGUCAAGCUCAUACUCCGAAACUGGGGGGUGAUCAUACAAAUUAGAAGAAGGAUUUGGAUAAAAAGGGCGCGCCUCAUCCUCAUCUAAGACGUGGUAGAAGGCACGUUCUUCUACUUCAUCCUCGGCUUCCGCGGCCUCAUCUCCAGCAUCGGCCUCCGCGGCCUCAUCUCCAGCCUUGGCUUCCGCAGCCUCAUCUCUCCUUCAUUCUUGGCUUCCGCGGCC
This 768-nucleotide long non-coding RNA is filed under the name Daucus carota (carrot). RNAcentral describes it as "long non-coding RNA (DCAR_LNC001265)". The record is from RNAcentral. Lineage: Eukaryota; Viridiplantae; Streptophyta; Magnoliopsida; Apiales; Apiaceae.